Molecule: ribosomal RNA, 577 nt
Filed under: Yamadazyma mexicana
Lineage: Eukaryota; Fungi; Ascomycota; Pichiomycetes; Serinales; Debaryomycetaceae
Description: partial large subunit ribosomal RNA
Rfam family: Eukaryotic large subunit ribosomal RNA
Source: RNAcentral
UUGCAUAUCAAAAAGCGGAGGAAAAGAAACCAACAGGGAUUGCCUUAGUAGCGGCGAGUGAAGCGGCAAUAGCUCAAAUUUGAAAUCUGGCACCUUCGGUGUCCGAGUUGUAAUUUGAAGAAGGUAUCUUUGGUUUUGGCUCUUGUCUAUGUUCCUUGGAACAGGACGUCACAGAGGGUGAGAAUCCCGUGCGAUGAGAUGCCCAAUUCCAUGUAAAGUUCCUUCGACGAGUCGAGUUGUUUGGGAAUGCAGCUCUAAGUGGGUGGUAAAUUCCAUCUAAAGCUAAAUAUUGGCGAGAGACCGAUAGCGAACAAGUACUGUGAAGGAAAGAUGAAAAGAACUUUGAAAAGAGAGUGAAAAAGUACGUGAAAUUGUUGAAAGGGAAGGGCUUGAGGUCAGACUUGGUUUUACCAGGCCAGCAUCAGUUUGGAUGGCAGGAUAAUAGCUUAGGAAUGUGGCACUGCUUCGGUAGUGUGUUAUAGCCUGGGUUGAUACUGCCUGUCUAGACUGAGGACUGCGUCUUUGACUAGGAUGCUGGCAUAAUGACCUUAAGCCGCCCGUCUUGAACCACGGACCA